UUGGUUAGAAAUCAUUCUUAGCUUAACUCCGCAACGGAGCGAGCCACGGAGAUUCGUCACGCCGGCAACGAACUCCACAGGCAGAGACGUCUGCCGAUACAGCCACAAGCUUUAAAGGACAUACAUAACAGUCAAC
Regulatory RNA element from Pseudomonas sp., 136 nucleotides. It matches the Rfam family "rmf RNA". The record is from Rfam. NCBI's taxonomy places the organism in Bacteria, Pseudomonadati, Pseudomonadota, Gammaproteobacteria, Pseudomonadales, Pseudomonadaceae.